AUUGUCGAAACCUGCAGAGCAGAACGACCCGUGAACCAGUAAAACAUGUUCGGGGGGGAGCGGGGGGUGCACGCCCCUCUCUUCCUCCCGUGCCGGGACACGCUCGGCACUGCCCUGUGACCUGCGCGAUGCGUGCAGGGAGCCGGUGCGUGUCGGUGUGCUCCCGAUACAUAACAACGAACCCCGGCGCAAAACGCGCCAAGGAACUAUAACGCAAGAGCAUGCCCCCUUGCUGCCCCGAUCCCGGGGCGUGCGGGUGGCGUUGUUAUCUUCGAAAUCUUAACGACUCUCGGCAACGGAUAUCUCGGCUCUCGCAUCGAUGAAGAACGUAGCGAAAUGCGAUACUUGGUGUGAAUUGCAGAAUCCCGUGAACCAUCGAGUCUUUGAACGCAAGUUGCGCCCGAAGCCAUUAGGCCGAGGGCACGUCUGCCUGGGCGUCACGUAUCACGUCGCCCCCACAAAACCUCGCCCACGCUGCUCGUGGUGCGGGGAUUUGAGCGGAGCGGAUAUUGGCCUCCCGUGCAUCCCGUUGCGGUUGGCCUAAAAAUCGGUCCCGAGCGACGAACGUCACGACAAGUGGUGGUUGACAGGCCUCGGCCUCAGCGGUAUCGUGUCGUGCGUUUUCCUGUCGCUCGUCGGAGCGAACGAGACCCCGAUGCGUCGCCCCGACGAUGCUUCCAUCGCGACCCCAGGUCAGGCGGGAUUACCCGC
Molecule: ribosomal RNA, 711 nt
Filed under: Rhodoleia championii
Lineage: Eukaryota; Viridiplantae; Streptophyta; Magnoliopsida; Saxifragales; Hamamelidaceae
Description: eukaryotic LSU rRNA
Rfam family: 5.8S ribosomal RNA (bases 285-440)
Source: RNAcentral